GACUCUCGGCAACGGAUAUCUUGGCUCCCGUCACGAUGAAGAACGUAGCGAAAUGCGAUAGUUGGUGUGAAUUGCAGAAUCCCGUGAAUCAUCGAGUUUUUGAACGCAAGUUGCGCCCGAGGCCAUUCGGCCAAGGGCACGUUUGCCUGGGCGUCACGCU
Molecule: ribosomal RNA, 160 nt
Filed under: Nymphaea odorata subsp. tuberosa
Lineage: Eukaryota; Viridiplantae; Streptophyta; Magnoliopsida; Nymphaeales; Nymphaeaceae
Description: 5.8S ribosomal RNA
Rfam family: 5.8S ribosomal RNA
About the family: 5.8S ribosomal RNA (5.8S rRNA) is a component of the large subunit of the eukaryotic ribosome. It is transcribed by RNA polymerase I as part of the 45S precursor that also contains 18S and 28S rRNA.
Source: RNAcentral